RNAcentral lists this long non-coding RNA (3023 nucleotides) under Homo sapiens (human). RNAcentral describes it as "non-protein coding LINC00484:3". Lineage: Eukaryota; Metazoa; Chordata; Mammalia; Primates; Hominidae. The record is from RNAcentral.
AGGAAGGAAGGAAGGAAGGAAGCUAAGCAAUAUAACCCUGUGGCAACAUUUGUAAAAGUGACUCUGAGAAGACAGAAAGAUCCUCUAUGAGAGACUGGUGUCCCCAGGAAUUGGCGAGGCCUGCUGAGGAUCAUUUGGGUAAAUGUCAUGGUCACGCGGCCCCAUUCUCUUCGCUGAGCUCCGGAUUUCCGUAGCCAAUUGUCUGCUGGACAUUCCUCCCUGAUACAUCUCACAGAGGCUGUGGACAGGAGCACCGAGAGCCACUUCCUGGAGCAUGCUCCCCACCCCCGCAGCCUGUGGCUUCAGCCUCUGCUUCUGCAGACAGCGGUGGAGGAAGUCAGGACUGUCCCUUCUGACCUGAACACCUACCUCCAAGUCCUCCCUGUCGCCACAGAGACCCGGCAAUGCAAGUGAGUCCUGUUUGACCUCGUCAAUCAUCGCAGACUGUAAAGGUGACUCGGAUGCUCAAGAAACGAGCAUACCCAGCAGUGGGCCCCAGACUUCUCGCAGGCCCAGGUCCUCCUGGGUGCACAGAGACCUACCAGACAACGGUCCGGCUGCACUGGUGUUGUGAGAUGCCUGUGUCAGAAGACACUGAGUUCCUCACUCGCCUCCUAUCAUGCCGAUGAUCACAGGAGAAAGAGCAGGGCACAUGCAUGCCAGCAUGCUGAAGGGAGGCCAAAACCCAUGCUUGAAAACCACAGGUCCUGUUCUAGGAGCAGGAGAUAUAUUUAGCCAAGCAGGAUGUUUGUGGGUAAACCAACAUUUUGCUGUAAAUAAAAUUCUGCAAACUCGGGACUUUGAGAAUUGCAGAAGCUUACUUUGCCUGCGUAUUGGCAAGAGAGCUAUUUUCCUAACACAAGCUCACCAUGACCCUCAUUCAGAGAUGCGCUUGACGCCGAGGGUGGUGCCUUUUCGCUAAGGGGUGCUGUCAGGGGAUUGAGUAGGAGCCUGAAGAGCUAGGAGUAUCUUCUCCCUGGGCAGACCAGCAGGCAGACCCUGUCCCUUCACACUACAGUGGCACGUGAUGGGCCCCACUGCCCACCUGGUUCUGGUGUCCAGGCUGAAGUCCUCGUGUGACACUCCAAACUGUUCUGGCAAGGAAGGCUCACGGGUUCUGACCUACACUCUGAAACUGACCAGUAGUGAUAAACUCCGCAUGGACUUCAGCCAUCAUUGCGUACGUAAGAAAUACGUGUUGCACACAGAGUGCUUCUCUACAUUCCCAGGUUUGCCACUCCCCGACUUUUGCUGAAGCAGGUUUCUACUCCAUCAGUCCCACAGAUGUGUUCACAGGGCCAGCACUGAGUGUGGUGCUGGGGAAGGCAUGUGCUUGGAGGCAGCCCUGUGAGAUGGCACAGCCUAGGGGAGGAGUCGUGGUGGGGAAGACCCUGGCCACGCAUGAUAGAGGAAGCGUGGCCACACAGUCUUUGCUGUCCCUGCCACAGCAUGGUGCUGUAAGUCUCCUCCUUCCGAGUCUGUGCAGACUUAUGUGACACAUUUGACCCAACAGAAAUGCAGCAUUUGUGGUGUGUGAAAGUUCCAGACCAGGCCACAGCGAGCUCCGUGGCUUCGGCUGUGUCUCCUGGAGCACUUGCUCUCAGGACCCCCUCUCUCAGAGCCCAGGCACCACGCCGUGAGAGAGCCCCAGCCACAGAGACAGGCUACGUGUAGGUGCUUUCAUCAAAGUGCCACCUGUGCCUCCCCGCAGCAGUGUCAGGCCACCAGCUUGGACAGGCAGCUCCAGCCUCCAGUGGAGGCUUCAGAGGACAGCAUCAAACAGCAUCCACAAAGGAGACCCACCUUGUGAAAAGCGCCUAGCCAAGCCCUGCCCAAAUCCCUGGCCUGUGCAAUUGUGAGCAAAGCAAUUCAAUUUGGAGUGGUUUUAUGCUGCAGUAGGUGACCAAAGCACUAUGGAAGUGAAUAUCAGGAGCCCCUCACUGGGAUGUCAGAAGACAUUCAAGGAAGGUUUCCUGGAAGAUUUAGUACCUCAGGUGGUACAGGAGAAGGUGAGAUGGAGAGAAAGCAACCCCAGUCUGAAGACGCAGUGGUAAGAAAGGGUCAUUCCCCUGGGCAUGUGUGGUCUGCUGGGGGAUGACAGCCGAGGUGAACUUGAAGCAGAGGACACUCAGACAAGCUGCACUCUGAAUCCCGCUACGCUGACCGCAGCACUUGCUGAAGAAGCCGCCUCGCCACGCCCAAGCCCUGCAGAGGGAAGGACUGAGGAAGGCAGCUCAGAGGCCUCAGGCAGCCACAGUGUGCAUGCUUGUCUAUGACUCACAGCUACGACGUGGCCUGUGCUGCUGCAGCUGCUGAUAAGCCUCAAACCUCAUAUACCACUCUCUUCCGAGGAUUUUUUAAAUACACAAAACUGGGAGUGAGAGGGGUAUUUAAUUCCCCUACUAACACAUGUUGGGCGCAGCUGGAGCAGCCAGGCCCACUGUAGCUGGGAAGAUGCGGUGCCUUGAGGUGCAGGCACUGCUCACUGCCACAUGUGAGCACAGGUUCUGAGGGUGAAAGGUCCCUGGUAUCUGGCCAGAGUGUUAGACUCUGGAACAUAAGAAGCCCCCGAGGUGGUGGAGAAGGUCUAGCCAGGCUCCAGACUGGCUUCACAGAGGUAAUGCUUUUUGGUUUGAAAUCCGUAAGAGCGCACUACAACUUCAGGGCAAGCUCCAACAGUGCUUCUCAAACUUUAAUGAGCACCCAAAUCAUCAGGGGGCGCGGGGGCAGUGGGUCGCUUACUAAAAUGAAGAUUCUGCAUCAGGAGGUCUGGGGCGGUGACACGAUUCUGUGUUUCUAACACGUUCCUGGGUGAGGCUGAAGCCACUAGUCCAUGAAGCACACUUUGAGUAGCAAGAAUGUGGAGGAACUGUCCCAGGAUGGGCCAUGAUUUACCUGAAUUCUCACAGUGGCUUAGACAAUGGAGACCUUGUCCACAACUAAAAAAUAAAAAUAAAAUCGAACCACACUCAUUGUUCCAGGAAACAGCAAUAACAUUGGAAAUAAAUCAAAUGGUUUAUUAC